AUACUUACCUGGCAGGGGAGAUACCAUGAUCAAGAAGCUGGUUUUCCCAGGGUGAGGCUUAUCCAUUGCACUCCAGAUGUGCUGAACCCUGCUAUUUCCCCAAAUGUGGGAAACUCGACUGCAUAAUUUGUGGUAGUGGGGGGACUGCAUUUGUGCUCUCCCCUG
RNAcentral lists this small nuclear RNA (165 nucleotides) under Castor canadensis (American beaver). Its description in RNAcentral is "U1 spliceosomal RNA (ENSCCNG00000019784.1)". It matches the Rfam family "U1 spliceosomal RNA". From Rfam's summary of the family: U1 is a small nuclear RNA (snRNA) component of the spliceosome (involved in pre-mRNA splicing). Its 5' end forms complementary base pairs with the 5' splice junction, thus defining the 5' donor site of an intron. The record is from Rfam by way of RNAcentral. Lineage: Eukaryota; Metazoa; Chordata; Mammalia; Rodentia; Castoridae.